RNAcentral lists this ribosomal RNA (897 nucleotides) under Triticum aestivum (bread wheat). RNAcentral describes it as "partial small subunit ribosomal RNA". Lineage: Eukaryota; Viridiplantae; Streptophyta; Magnoliopsida; Poales; Poaceae. The record is from RNAcentral.
AUGCAACUCCUAGACGGGUUUGGAGAGGCGACGGGACUGCGCAGCAACCCCCAAAAAUCGUCAGCGACAGCCCUCAACUGCGGUAGUAUAGACCUCAUAGAUGUCCUUCAAAAUUUCGGCGGCACUACAGUAGGCUUCCCGAUCAGAUACCUAGGUCUUCCGCUCUGCAUCGGCAGGCUCCGGCUCGUGCACAUCCAGUAUCUUCUCGAUCGCAUCCGCGCACGGCUCGCGGCUUGGAAAGGCCGUCUCCUACCGAUCGCGGGUCGUCGCGUGCUGGUCCGGUGCGUCUUGUCCGCGUUGCCCGCCUUCGCCAUGUCGGCCCUGCGCAUUCCGAAAAGAUUCUACAAGGACGUUGACAAGGCACGUCGGCGGUUCCUGUGGGCGCACGAUGAAGAGGCCAUCGGCGGUAGAUGCAAAGUAAACUGGCGGCUAGUCACGUCCCCGGUCGACCACGACGGUCUCGGCAUCCCCAACAUGGAGCGGUUCGCGCGUGCACUGCGUCUCCGAUGGCUAUGGCUGGCAUGGACAGACCCGGCCAGGCCAUCGGCAGGCAUGGGGACGCCUUGUGACGACAAGGAUAGAGCACUCUUCGCCUCGAUGACGACGGUGACGGUGGGGAACGACAACAGAGCCCUCUCUGGCACUGCUCCUGGCUCGGCGAGCAACCGCUAUGGCAAGUCUACCCAGCCCUGUUCAGGCGCUCAACCAGGAAGAACCGCACGGUGGCUGAUGCAAUACGCGAAGACAGAUGGAUCAUGGACCUCAGGCACGACAACAACUUGGAGAUCAUCCCCCAGGCCGUGUGGUUGCAGCGCCGCAUCAGAGACGCAAACCUGGUGUUGCGGGAAGGAAUUGAAGACGAGAUCGCAUGGAAAGCCGGAGGCCACUACACAAUGA